UAGGGAAUAUUGCACAAUGGGCGAAAGCCUGAUGCAGCGACGCCGCGUGAGUGAUGAAGGCCUUCGGGUCGUAAAACUCUGUGAUGUGGGAAGAUGAUGACGGUACCACAUCAGAAAGGACCGGCUAACUUCGUGCCAGCAGCCGCGGUAAUACGAGGGGUCCAAGCGUUGUUCGGAAUCACUGGGCGUAAAGCGGGUGUAGGCGGCUACACAAGUUGGGUGUGAAAGCCCCGGGCUCAACCCGGGAAGUGCACUCAAAACUAUGUAGCUUGAGUACGAGAGAGGAAGGUAGAAUUCCAGGUGUAGUGGUGAAAUACGUAGAUAUCUGGAGGAACACCGGUGGCGAAGGCGGCCUUCUGGCUCAGUACUGACGCUCAGACCCGAAAGCGUGGGUAGCAAA
RNAcentral lists this ribosomal RNA (400 nucleotides) under uncultured bacterium. RNAcentral's name for it is "bacterial SSU rRNA". It matches the Rfam family "Bacterial small subunit ribosomal RNA", at positions 355 to 772 of the family's 1533-position model. The record is from RNAcentral.